GUUGAAGCUGAGACCACGGCAAGUUGAGGUGUGGUCUAGAACCAGUUACUUUUCAGAUAUCAAAACAACACUCAUUCUCUACAGUUUCUGCUUUUACUUUCAUUGUGUUAUUCUCUUUGAUGACAAAUUGGAUUCUGUGAAAAAUUCCAGUUGACCUAACUACAUGACAUUCAAAAUGUAGCCUCUUUACAGUUUGUGUCUUUGUUAAUGCUCUUACUUAGGUAUUGGGUUUUUAUGGUGGUCUUAUGAAGUUUCAACUCAAACAUCUAGUUUAGGAAAUGUGGUCCAAUUGAAAGAACGUGCUUAAUUGUAGUACUGUUGUAAUUGUUCUGGGUUCUGAACAUGCUGAUAACUUCAUAUGCUUACUGAAAGCUCAAUUUUUUUUUUUUUUUUGUGAUCUCGUCAAGUUUGAGCUCACCAUUAAACAAAUUUACUUCACUUUUGGAAGAAAUCUACUUGAUUCAAGUAUUCAUAAGCGAAUUGAAGUACUUGUGUUGUAAUUAUUUUGUCUUGCAAGAAAGUUUAUAACUUUACUAAUAUUCUUACUGGAAGCUUAGUUUUUGAUAUAUCAAGCCAUUGGUUUGCCUUUUGAUAUCUAAACUCAGCAUUUAGUUGAGCAAAUGUACUUCACUUUAACGAGUCUAUUUAAUUGAAGAACUCAUAAGCUAGUGUUAAUUUGCUUUGUGCAGAUUGGUUUUACUUUAUUUUUCAGUGCUAAGAUCGUUAAUGUCAUAUAUUUUCAGUUUCUAAGUAUCAAUAGACUGUAUGCAGUAGUUGUCUAUCAUGUGUUUAACAGUUAAUGGUUUAUCUUUGAAGAGUUUGUGCAGAGUUUCCAAUUGUAGAGGUGAGAUAUUAGAAUUUGAGUGUGGAAGCUGAUUGGCAGAUUGUUCACAGAAAGCCCCUCACAACUCUAUGGAAUUCUCUUAUACAUUCGCUUCUGUUCAUUUUUUGUUGAGCCGUAAAUUGAAUCCAUAUGGGUGCUUAUCUGGCUGUGAAUGAUGUUUAAAAUUUUAUUACAGAGAGUUUUAAUUAGUCCUUACCUUACAUUUUUCAUUGUUGAAAGUUCUUUAAGAUGCAGCUUACUUGCAGUUUUGAAUGAUUUUAUUAGUUAGUUGAAAUUGAAACCUUGCUUCAUAACUCCUCCUGGAGCUUAUAGGUUCACAGUCAAAUCAGGUUCAGAUAACCAUCAUUGAAGAUAUUAGUGACAUCAUUAAGCCUGGAAUGUAAUAUGAAAGAUUUAAUGUUAGUAAAAUUAACUCCAUUUGUGAAUUGACAUAAACCGUUCUCGGUCAAUUGUGCUGAUCUUCCAUUAUAUAUGUAGCUGAAUUGCCAUUGUGGAAUUCCAAUGGUUUGUUAUAAAUUGAUGUUACCUUUAACUUAUAAAGGAUACAUUCACCCUUCUAAUUCUAUCUUGUGUUUCUUGACUUCCAAGAAGGUAGUGAACUUUUCUGUAGGAAUCCACUGAAUAAUUCAUAAAUUUAAGCUUAGGUAGCUUUCAAAUUAUUCCUUGUGAGAACCAAUAUGUUUGGAUCACACUGCCAUGUGUUUUAUAUCCUCUUGGUGGAAUUUGUACAUUAUUUAACAGAAAUGCCUUACACUUAAGGUUCUUAGCAAAAGUUUUACUGGUGAAACCAUGUAUGUGGAGGAUUUUUGUCACCCAAUUGGUAUGUGAUAAUUUAACAAUUUGUUGUUUCACUUUGAUAUGCUCUAUUAGAGCUGACUUAAUUCCAUUUGGCUUCAGAAUAUGAUGUGGAAAGCCUCUUUUCUGCUAGAAUUUUUGUGAAGGAAAGUUUAAAAGGCUCCUGAGGAAUGUACACUUAAGUGUGCUUGAAUUAUUGCAGGAUGAUUCAUUUGCUUGGCCCCCAAGUUGCAGGAAGACCAUACUUUUAAAGGCUCUCAGUUAGGAACCUGGUUAUUUUCCAAUGAUUCUGAGAUGAUUACAUCCCAAUCUGCAAGUCCAGUGAUUUUCCAACCUCCCUCUCAACUCUGCUUCUCAUGAACACCAGGUAACAGGGAAAAGGUUUCCUACAAUGGUUACCAGUUGGAUGAAUUUGUUCCCCAGAAAACACCAGCUUAUAUAAGCUAAGAGGAUCUGCAUAUUGCUGAAAUGACUGAGGGAAACACUUGAAUUUGCUGCCCAAUUGGUUUUGGAAACUAAGGAAGUAGGCUUCCUUAGAUUUAAUUCAAUGAAGUUUUAAUCAUAGCCACCUUAUCAAUUCCCACAAGUUGUUGGUAUGUACAGAGCAAUUAUUUUUUUUCUGCCUGUACAGAUAUGAUGAUGGAAGUCCAUAAAAGAGAGGAGUCAGGAAUUGUUCCGGAUGUAGAUGUAGAUACUUUCAUGAAGGUUUCUUCUUUAUAAUUGAUGUCUUGUUUAUAUCUGAUUUUUUGUUCUAUAUGUUGUUGCUACAUGUGUGAAAUAUUCAUGGCAAUGGUAGUUAUUACAGCCAAUUUCUAGCAAAGGACCAAAAGCAACCCUUCAAACAGAUCAUGUUUUUACUGUCUUCGGACGUCCCAGGUCCUUGAACUUGAUAUUUUUGGUGACACAACGGUGGCAGAUGAGAUGAGAAGAGGCAUCUCUGGAGGUCAAAAGAGGAGACUGAGUACUGGUAAUUUUCUAUAAAUGCAUUUGCUCCACUUGGUAGUAAUGUUUAUAGUGUAGAUGAUUGAAAGGAAUAGAUGCCUGCAGCAGAUUGUUGUGUCCACAAAAACUUUAUUUAUGGAUGAAAUAUGAAAUGGUUUAGACGGUUCAACUGGAUAUCAGAUUAUUGCUUAUCUGCAGCAGCUGAUGCAUAUCUGUUGGGUGUCUCUUUCCUUGGUGGCUAUCGGCGAUAUGACUCCAGUGAAGUCUGCUCUGGUAACUGGCUGCACGGCUUCAGUUAACAAUCAAUUUGAAAUGAGCCAUAACAAUCAUAUGCGCCCUCUCCCUUCUGUAACCCUUUCAAAAUUGUUGAGAUACUUCUAGUUCUACUGCUGGCAUUUUAGUCAUUUUCAUCGUUUUAAAUACUUAUCGACAAAACUAAUAAAACAUAAGUAUGAAUUUUUUUUUUUAAUUUUUUAAUUUCACAGAUGAGAUUGGCAACUUGUUGCUGAAUUUGUUACCGACAAUCUGAAAAAUUAGUGUCAAAUGAGUAGAUUACAAGUUGAAAAUUGGUGUCA
Mangifera indica (mango) is the source of this 3156-nucleotide long non-coding RNA. RefSeq lists it as uncharacterized. The record is from RefSeq and is a predicted model, not a curated record. Lineage: Eukaryota; Viridiplantae; Streptophyta; Magnoliopsida; Sapindales; Anacardiaceae. The transcript is spliced from 3 exons.